RNAcentral lists this ribosomal RNA (458 nucleotides) under uncultured bacterium. RNAcentral describes it as "bacterial SSU rRNA". It matches the Rfam family "Bacterial small subunit ribosomal RNA", at positions 30 to 507 of the family's 1533-position model. The record is from RNAcentral.
AUUGAACGUUGGCGGCAGGCCGUUAUACAUGCAAGUCGAACGAGAAAGCACCUUCGGGUGCGAGUACAGUGGCGGACGGGUGAGUAACGCGUAGGAAUCUACCUUUAGUGGGGGACAACUCGGGGAAACUCGAGCUAAUACCGCAUAAUAUCUAUGGAUCAAAGUGGGGGAUCUUCGGACCUCACGCCUAAAGAGGAGCCUGCGUUGGAUUAGCUUGUUGGUGGGGUAAUGGCCUACCAAGGCUACGAUCUAUAGCUGGUCUGAGAGGACGAUCAGCCACACUGGAACUGAGACACGGUCCAGACUCCUACGGGAGGCAGCAGUAGGGAAUCUUGGUCAAUGGGCGCAAGCCUGAACCAGCCAUGCCGCGUGUGCGAAGAAGGCCCUAGGGUUGUAAAUCCCUUUCAGCGGGGAAGAUAAUGACGGUACCCGCAGAAGAAGCCCCGGCUAACUCCGUG